RNAcentral lists this ribosomal RNA (594 nucleotides) under uncultured bacterium. Its description in RNAcentral is "bacterial SSU rRNA". It matches the Rfam family "Bacterial small subunit ribosomal RNA", at positions 338 to 946 of the family's 1533-position model. The record is from RNAcentral.
CCUACGGGAGGCAGCAGUGAGGAAUCUUCCACAAUGGACGAAAGUCUGAUGGAGCAAUGCCGCGUGCAGGAUGACGGCCUUCGGGUUGUAAACUGCUUUUAUAUGGGAAGAUUAUGACGGUACCAUAUGAAUAAGGACCGGCUAACUACGUGCCAGCAGCCGCGGUAAUACGUAGGGUCCAAGCGUUAUCCGGAAUCACUGGGCGUAAAGCGUUUGUAGGCGGAAAUCUAAGUGAGAUGCGAAAUCUUGUGGCUCAACCAUAUAGACGGUAUCUCAUACUGGGUUUCUAGAAGAUAGCAGAGGUAAGUGGAAUUAGUAGUGUAGCGGUAAAAUGCGUAGAUAUUACUAGGAACACCAAUGGCGAAGGCAGCUUACUGGGCUAUAUUUGACGCUGAGAAACGAAAGCGUGGGGAGCGAACAGGAUUAGAUACCCUGGUAGUCCACGCCGUAAACGAUGUGUGCUAUUAGUUCGAGGUAUCGACCCCUUGGGCUGAACAGCUAACGCGUUAAGCACACCGCCUGGGGAGUACGAGCGCAAGCUUAAAACNCAAAGGAAUUGACGGCUGAGACGUGCGAGACGACGACGAGGGAGAG